UCAAAAUUUUACAACACCAAAAUCAGAAGUGGCGAGCUGUUCUGUCCAAAUACCAGCUGCCUUUAGUGGCAGGUGCAGAGAGUUUAUAUAAUGUAGUCCCUUCUUGAUUGGCGGCGAAUUCAGAAGAACCAGGAAAUGAAUAGUCCAACAUGAACUCCCGGAGACGUCCAGCAGGAGGAGUGCAGAGCACGCAGGGAGAUCAGAGUCCGUCAGGAACAGCGAAGAAGAGGGUAUCCAGCGAAGAAGAAAUCCGAUCCUAUCAGAAACAGCGGUACCGAUAGCACGGAGGAAAACGGUGCUUUUCAGCGACAUCGGCUGGCCAGUCUGUUGAUGAAGUUCUUGGAAGACCAAAUGUAGAAAAGAAUCUGGUCAUGGCAUUAAUGAUUGAACUAGCAGUGAUUUUACGGAGAGGAAUGGCUUCAGGGUAGCGAGUGGAAGCGCACAUUAAGGUAAGUAAAAACUGAUUACCAGAUUUGGUUCGUGGUAAAGGACCCACACAAUCCAUAAUGAUGCGUUCAAAUGGUUCUUUCACUGCAGGAAUUGGAUGGAGCGGAGCAUUUGGUAUGGUCUGGUUAGGCUUUCCAGCCAUCUGACAUAUGUGGCAACUGCGGCAGAAUUUAACCACAUCUGUUUUUAAUCCAGGCCAGUAAAAGUGUUUCAAAAUCA
This is a long non-coding RNA of Girardinichthys multiradiatus, 666 nucleotides long. RefSeq lists it as uncharacterized. NCBI's taxonomy places the organism in Eukaryota, Metazoa, Chordata, Actinopteri, Cyprinodontiformes, Goodeidae. The record is from RefSeq and is a predicted model, not a curated record. The transcript has 2 exons.